This 392-nucleotide ribosomal RNA is filed under the name uncultured bacterium. RNAcentral's name for it is "partial 16S ribosomal RNA". It matches the Rfam family "Bacterial small subunit ribosomal RNA", at positions 523 to 918 of the family's 1533-position model. The record is from RNAcentral.
AUACGGAGGAACCGAGCGUUAUCCGGAUUUAUUGGGUUUAAAGGGUGCGCAGGCGGCCAUUUAAGUCAGCGGUUAAAUCGUGGGGCUCAACCCCAUUCUGCCGUUGAUACUGGGUGGCUUGAUUGCGGUCGAGGUUGGCGGAAUUCGUUGUGUAGCGGUGAAAUGCAUAGAUAUGACGAAGAACUCCGAUUGCGUAGGCAGCUGACCAGACCGCAAAUGACGCUCAUGCACGAAAGUGCGGGGAUCGAACAGGAUUAGAUACCCUGGUAGUCCGCACAGUAAACGAUGAAUACUUGUUUUCGGCGAUAUAAUGUCGGAGGCAAAGCGAAAGCGAUAAGUAUUCCACCUGGGGAGUACGCCGGCAACGGUGAAACUCAAAGGAAUUGACGGGG